GAUGAACGCUAGCUACAGGCUUAACACAUGCAAGUCGAGGGGUAACGAGAGGAAAGCUUGCUUUCCUUGUCGACGACCGGCGCACGGGUGAGUAACGCGUAUCCAACCUGCCCCCAACUAGGGAAUAACCUUGCGAAAGUAAGACUAAUACCCUAUAAUUUCCUCAGAUGUCAUCUGACGAGGAAUAAAGAUUUAUCGGUUGUGGAUGGGGAUGCAUCUGAUUAGCUUGUUGGCGGGGUAACGGCCCACCAAGGCAACGAUCAGUAGGGGUUCUGAGAGGAAGGUCACCCACAUUGGAACGGAGACACGGUCCAAACUCCUACGGGAGGCAGCAGUGAGGAAUAUUGGUCAAUGGGCGGAAGCCUGAACCAGCCAAGUAGCGUGCAGGAUGACGGCCCUAUGGGUUGUAAACUGCUUUUAUACAGGAAUAAAGUUAGCCACGUGUGGUUAUUUGUAGGUACUGUAUGAAUAAGGACCGGCUAAUUCCGUGCCAGCAGCCGCCGUAA
Molecule: ribosomal RNA, 506 nt
Filed under: uncultured bacterium
Lineage: Bacteria
Description: partial 16S ribosomal RNA
Rfam family: Bacterial small subunit ribosomal RNA
Source: RNAcentral